Molecule: small nuclear RNA, 104 nt
Organism: Choloepus hoffmanni (Hoffmann's two-fingered sloth)
Lineage: Eukaryota; Metazoa; Chordata; Mammalia; Pilosa; Megalonychidae
Source: Ensembl
GUGCAUGCUUCAGUGGCACAUAUACUAAAAUUGGAACAAUACAGAGAUUAGCAUGGCCCCUGUGCAAGGAUAACAUUCAAAUUUGUGAAGUGGUCCAUAUUUUU